This is a long non-coding RNA of Passer montanus (Eurasian tree sparrow), 7263 nucleotides long. RefSeq lists it as uncharacterized. The transcript has 3 exons. NCBI's taxonomy places the organism in Eukaryota, Metazoa, Chordata, Aves, Passeriformes, Passeridae. The record is from RefSeq and is a predicted model, not a curated record.
GUAAAGCACAUUCAAUGAAGCUACUAAAUUGAUAUUCACCCAGUAACUUUCCAGCUAACAAGUCCACCCAAAACACAGGCAGGCUCUUGCUGUGCUGAAGGAGCUGCAGAACACUAGACCAAACAGUGGUUGGACUUUUCUUUCUGUGUGGGCUCAAAGUCAGAGCUGUUUCCUUUCCUGAUGAAGGAAUCCUUCUGGGAAUCUUAGCUCCUGUUUGCAGUGGAAAGCCAACAGAUACAGGGGUGCAUACAAAGGGUGCAGAAAGAGUCUCACCAAGCUCCAAACAGGUGCCCAAUGUAAGGUCUCAAUAUUCAUUCAGGAGGUGUUGGAAAAAAUAAGGACAUCCAAAUAGCUCUCCAUCUAUGCCAUCUCAAAUCAAGAGAGAUUAAAUGCUGUUUCCAAGUCUAUUUCUCAGCCCUGGGUUACUGAGAUGAGCCGACUGGAUAUCUAUGUUCAGUUCAAGCCAGGUGAGAUCAGUUUUUAUGUGUUGCAACAGCUCAGGUUACAGGGAAGUUCAGGGUAUUAAAAAGUAGCUUUUGGUUUACUAUGAAGAGGUCAAAAUGGGCUCAAUAUUUAACCAGGAAAACAUGUGGUUUCCAAUAAUGGGUUUUGCACUGGAGCUGAAAUUAUUUGAGUGGAAAGUGUGUGAGUCACACUGCUUUAAAAAACAGAAGGUCUCUAAAUGUGAUUAAGUUAUCUGUAUCCACAUUUGCUAAACUCCAAGCCACAAAGCAAAAAAACACCCUGUAGUUUUGGUUUCUAAACAGAAAGGAUGCAGAAAAGAGCAAGUUUGGAGAAAGUAAUACUUCUCUGAGUCCUUCUGCAUCACCUCACACACUGCAGCUUUCUGUGUAUGGGAUAUGUUUCACUCCAAGCUUCUGAGGCAAGGGGGCUCUAAAGGUCUGAAAUAUCAUUCUCUGGGAAUUAAAACAGCCCCUCUUCCUACAAUAAAGGAUGGCCUCCAGAUAGCUGCCAACUGCAGAAGCUCAUUUGUGCCUCUGUAGAGGAAGGAGAAACACUGUUUGCAAACAUACUCCAAAGGUUCCCCAAAUUUGUUUGAACAGAAGAGAAGGUUUGAGACAGAGUUCCUGACAUUUAAUGUUUGAAAAUAGGGCAGAUCUGUGAUUUUUAGAGUGAACUCCCUGACACCAGUACUAAAGAAGUCAUAUACCUGGGCAGUGUCAUCAAGAGAUAUGGGGCUGAUCUGUCUGGAAAUGGGCUCGUGGGUUGCUUUGGACAUUGAUUUUAGGACAGAGCUCUUUGACUUUUCAGAGACCUAAAAUCCCAAUACCUGUGUGUCUCAAGAAAGUGCUGGGAAGGCAGGGAAAGGCUGACCUAAAGCAUUGAGGAGUUCUAUUAAGUAACUCAGCAGUUUUAGUGUCCCUCCCUGGUAAUGCCAGAUGAGUAAGGAUAUAUUUGCAUGGAUAUUUUGGGCUUACUUUGGCAAGUACAAAACCAACUGGAGAGUAUCAGGAAGAGUUGUCAAAUGAUUAAUAAAUUAAUAGAUUGGGAGCACAAAAGCAAACUGGCAAACUGAAUGAUGUUUUUUAUAGAAUUUCCUGCCCUGGGAGCUACUAUUGGUGCCUUAAAAAGCCAGGAGGAUGCUGUGCUGAUGGUUUUCUACAUAUUCAGUGAUAUGGCAAGUGUAUGUUUCAUUUUGCCUUUGUUCAUGUUUCUGUGGGACUUAAUAGCUUCUAAUCAUCUCUAUCCAUGUUAGAUUUGGCUCCUUUACCUGAGGAGCCACUCAUUAUAUGCCUGCAGGUUCUUAGCAGACCAGUUUCUGGAGAACCUUCCAGGGCUUGCCUGGUGUCACAGGUGAGUCACUGCAAACCGUGGCCUGUUUCUUCUGCAGGACAGGACAGACAUUACUUUGAAAGUGUUGUAACAUUAAAAAAAACCACUUAUUCAAAACUUCUUGCAUUCUGAAAAGGUUUUGGGUUUUAGUGAUUUAAUAAAAAAUCCUGUCUGGUUUACAUGUGGCCUUGCUAUCUUCCCAGUAGUUCUCCCAGCAGCCCUGAUGGGAUUAACUUGAAUAACUUACCCUCCUCCUGGUCAAAUACCUUAUUCCAGUGACUGAGGACAGGUCAGCACUGUGUUUUGAGUAAAGAGUCCCACGGAUUGGCCCCAAAGAAACCAUGAGCUGGGAGAUGAACAUUAAUACACAGUGUGGCUUCUUUCUGACUAGGUGUUUUUUGAUCUACAGAUAUCCCUGGGGCUUGUUAGACUGGCACCAUGUAUUUUCAAUAACCUGCCUCUGGAAAGGCACAUUCCCAGAGUGUUAAAAGGCUGAUGGCAUCCAGCGGUGAUGGACAAGGCAGCAAUAUGUGGCUGGGAAAACACUCCAUUCUCCAUGCUUUUCUCCCAAAGUUCCUUCUUACACACCAAGACUGUUGGUGGAUCUUUUGUACCAGACGCUGCUAUGGAUGGCACGGGGACACGGGUGUCAAGACGAGGUUCUUAAUGCAGUAAUAAACUAUCCAGUCUGACUGCAGCUAUUUAAUGGUUGGAGCAGAAAGCCUUGUUUCUGGAGGAAAGGCUCUUUCAGCUCCCUAAUUAGCUUUGUUUUGAAAAGUUUUGGCAUGCAAAUGACAUGCCAUAAAUCACACAGGCUUUAAUGAGAAGUAAUUUGUCUUCUGGUUUCUUAAAGCUGCUCUCAGUUCAGACAGGAGGAGCUUUCCCUCCCUUUCUUUCCACCCUGCCACACGAAACCUGCAGGUGAUGGAGUAUCUUGUGCAAGGCUGUGGCGACAGCGUCCUGUCUCACCCUCUCCCAAUGCUUCCAGCUGCUUUCAUCCCCAACUGCUACUCACGCCGCUUUAUGUGUUCUGGGCUGUGCCCACACACAGAAGAAUAAGGAGCUCGCUUUUAAAAUCAACUGAAAGCAAAGAUUUCACACCUCCAAAUCAGGAUGGCUUGUGCUUUGUGGAGCCAGAUUAUCAGCUGUGGGGACAUGAACUGACAAGGGAAAACUGUGGAGUUUGGAGCAAGCUAAGGCUGCAGACUCCUAAAGAAAGUUGCUGAAAUAAUAUGGUAAUUUAUGCAAGAGCAUGGCACACAGGGUCCUGCCUAUGCAUCAGAAAAGGGCCACUCGGACUGCUGAUUCCAGCAGAAACACACAAUGUGAUCAGCAGCACUUUUGUACAAAAAAAAAAACAACCCAAACUUGGUGUCUCUCUCCUCCUUGCAGAUGCAUGUGCAGAGUGGGGGGUCCACCCCACCAAACACCAAGAGCAAGAGACAAGUGUGGGUCUCCAUUUCCUGACAGCAGGAACCAGACUCCCUGUUCCUGCAUGUGCAAAGACAGGAGUUCCUUGGCUCCUUUUAGACUUGAAGGCCAAGUGUACUUUUCCAAACCUUUCACAAAUGUGAGCAAUUAAAAAAAUAGACCCAAGAAACCCCUCAACUGCUGGUAAAGAAAACAUUGCUAGUUGAAGGGAUAUUUGUCUCAGCGUGCUCCAAGCAGCUUCCACCAGCAAAAUCUGAUCUUCCCUGUUCAUCUCAGAGGAAAGUUAUUUGGACUCUAGAAAUGGUGGCUGGUCUCUUCCCCCCUUCAAACAAUCUUCAUCCUGCUGCUGCACUGAAAACCUCUUCUUUUAAGGGAGUUCUGUCUUGAUAACAUUCACUGGGGCAAAGGGAUGCAAUGGCUCCUACUGGCACCUCUUGGGACCCAAAGCAUAUAUUUAGCUUCUCAGUUAGCUCAGGCUGACACAGACAAGGACCUUUUCAUAUCUGAUGUCUGCACAUAGACAUAGCUGACUUGAGGGGUUGUGUGGUGGAAGCAAAAUUGAACUAUUUUAUCCUUACUUUUGCAUCCACAAAAUUAAUUUGAUUCCUGUCUCCCACGCCCGAAGUGCCAAGGCAGUGUGUAAAAAUCUCCAGAUCUGCCUAAAGCUGCUUGUACCUUCACUGCUGUUAAUUCUGCUCUCAAGAGACUUUCCUAGGGGUCAGGCUCACACCAGGCAAAGAGUACAUCUUUCAGUAAGGGACAGAAACCAAAAGCUUAUCAAUCAGUCAGUGAAUAAGAGCCCCUUUGAAUUGGCUACAAUAUCCAAACAAACAAAAAUAAUCACAGUAUUAUAGAAUCCUGUUACAUUAAAAAAAUCAUGAGACCUAGUUGGACUGGAAGGAACCUACAGGAUUCUGAAAAUCCCUCUUGCUUGACUUUCUCACCCCUUCUUAUCUGAAUUCCCCUGGGAAGAAAGAGGAGACUAGGACAAAUCCCAACCCCAGGGUAUGUCUUGGCACAGUGCAAACUGUGAUGAGAGUUUGUGAAUUCUCCACCUCCCCUCUCAACCCUCCAAAAGUGGGACUGGGUAAAACAGUGAGCUGUACUGGAAAGAACCCACCUUCCAGCAAUGAGAACCAUGACAGGGGUGUAAUUCAGGGCUCUGCUGGCCACUGGUGCUUGAGGGAACAUACAUCUGACCAGCCAAUCUACAUCCAGAGGAAUUUCUGGGAAGGAUAUUGCAGUGUUCUAGCUUGCAAGUUGAACCUAGAGACGACCUGCUACCAAGCCUUUUUUCAAGUAUUUUCAUGUAUUAACAAGAGUAAUUUAUUAUUUGAGAGGUGUUUGUUGACCUGAAUUUUCCUGGUGCUCUCUAUGGUAACCUGUUCUGGCACAGUUCUUUAACUUUUUCUGACCAAUAAAUUUUCUGUUUCCUCAUGCACAUGUUAGUACAAAUACAAGAGAUAAUGGGUCAGAAAAGGCAGUAAUUCUCACAGGAACAGACAGCUAUGGUUUCCUCCUUUGGUGCUGGGCACAAUGGAUUCCUCUAGGCAGAACCAUCUGCUACAGAACCACACCCAGAAUUUUCUUGUGAAGUUGUUGACAGUCUUAGUAAAACAGGAAAGUUGCUUGCUGGAAAGUCUGUACAGGCUUAACGGUGCCAGGCAUUUGGACAGCUGCAGAAGCUGGCUUUUACCAUCAAAGUGGCUCAGAAAACCAGUUGCUUGAGUAGAUACUCAUGCUCAAUGUGGAGGGUGAGGCUCAUGAUCCUACAAGUGCUCAAGGCCACACAGAUACCUCCCACAGCAGAGAAGGAUUUAUGUAGUUUAUUUCCUAUAUGGAGAAGAGCCUUUAUGCCAAAGAAAUGUUAUGUUUUCCUGGGAUCCCUUUGAAGUAAACUCUGAAAAUCUGUCAGCUGAUUUGACAGGUAGUUCACAGAAAGGUGAUGUUGAGAACCCAUCUGUCCCAGCCCAAAGCUGCUGUCUGUCACUGCUAUCCCACAUACCAGCAGGGAGCCAAGAUCUCGAGGAGCAUCCAAUUCAAUACCCAGUACACCUGCCAGGACCCAAUCAUGUAUUGAGAUGUGCAGAACUUCUGAGCUCACCAGAGACUUUCUGGGCCUGUCAUUAGGACCUAUGGGUAACUUCUCUUCUGCAUAGUGCUAAAAAAAUUGCCUCAUGGUUUCUCUGGAAAAGAACUGGAGUGGCUUGAGCGCUGCCCUUAGGCUGAGUUGCACCAGUGUGAGCAGAAACAAAAAUGCAUGUGUGUUGUAGCCAAUUUAGCUUUUGGUGCAAACAUAAAUGGGUACAUGGGUUCUGAUUCAGGAGGGAAGAGCUGUCUCAAGUCAUUACAUUCAAAUUACCACUGUUUUCUCUGAAAGAUACGCAAUCAUUGCAGAAAUCUAAUCAUGCACCCACUUACAUCUGUAGGUGCUUAAAUAACCACAUAAAUAAGAUUCAGGCUCAAGACAGAUAGAUCUGGAGCCAGUUUGGUCUGGCGCCUAAGUACCAAAUCUUCUAUGAUAACUGAAUGUGAACUCCCACGCCCCCCAGGGGCUCUUGGAAAUUCCAGCGCCUGCAGAAAGUCACUGACACCAUGCAGGAAGAGGCCAAGCACUUCCAUUAAGUAGUAGGAAAUCUAUACAAGGAUCUACCUUCUGCAGAUCUACCUUGUGUUUGUCUCAGGUUUUAUGCUCUCUCCUAUUACUACUGUCUUAGGCUGCUUUAAAUAACACAAAACCAGUGCUAGCCAGGGUCUUGCUUCUCAGGUGCUUCUUUCUACACAAGGGUCACAGCAGAGCUUGUUGCUGUUGCAGAUUCUUUCUCUUUAUCCUGGGAAACUUUAUCCAUUAGGAAAGGUUGGCAGAAUUCUGAUCUGUGAACUGUGAGUGCUGACAUUAGAGGCAAGGGAGUGAUUUUGAGAGGUCAGUGAAGUGCAAGACAUGAGUGUGCUGGCAGCUUCUCUUGAUCAGCCGAGACAUCUCUGCCCUGCCUUGUGUCACCUGUUUAUGCCACUGUCAGAUGGGGUAUGGGGCCUGUCGGAGACGUGAUAAAAUGUUUUCUCCACAGAACAGACAGGCACAGCUAAGUCUGUGUGAAGGCCCAAGAGAGUCGCUGUGAAACACAGACCUGGCAAUCUUAGAUUGUUCGCUAAGAACAGAUUGCAAUUUUCAGCCAAUAAAUUUUUAAUAGUAUCGAUGUAACUAAAUAGAAACACUGGCUUGCAGACAAAGGGCUCUUAAGAUUAAUUACUGAUCUCUUCUUGAUGUUCAGAGAUGCUUCUCAUAGGUGACGUGUAAAGCAUGUUUCUUAGGAGCAAUGGUAAGCCUUUGCACAGGGCUGGCAUCAGUCAUGCAAGCCCUUCCCUGUGUGGUACCAAGGGGUUUGAACAGCACACUCAGCUCAUGCUGGCCUUCUCAUGGCAUGAAAAGUUACCUUCAUGCCCUUGGUGUCACCGCUGAACCUAUUAUUCAGUUUAGCACUAGGUACAUAGGACAUUCCUGACUUGGUGCCAGAGAGAAGUCCCAGGCAUAUUUAACUUCCUAAUGUGCCACCACAGCUUGGGGCCUGGUCGUACAACAGCAUCUAAAGCAAUGGCCCUGCCCCAUGGACCCUCUCUGUACAGUCUGCAGCUAAGGCAGGGAAUAUCUGGCAGAAACAGGUAUCAGAGAAGAAGAAGAAGCAGUAAGACACAGUGUCGUGACUCUUGGGUCACCUGGUCAUUGUCAGAAGCUGGAGGAAGAAGAGAGACAAACAGCUGAUAUUUAUUGUAUGUCACCUAAAUUCAAGGCAAGGGAACUAGUUUUUGAUGCUAAUCAUACUAAGAGCUCAUUAACUAUAUGGAAGUUCAUUACUUUGCUGCAUUUCUUACUCUAUGUUUGUCCCUCAUAUUGGGCAAUUUGUUUGAGUUUCAGAAAUAAUCUCUCUCACUUUGUCAUCAUGGAUGCUUUCAAAACACCAUUGCUCUUGCACCUGACGUUUCUCCCCACCUGUGUUCUGUCUUCCCUGUGCUCCUGCCUGGAGAAGGUCCCUCAGUGGU